GGAUGUGAGGGCAAUCUGGCUAUGAUAUCUGUCACCCAUUGAUCGCCAGUGUUUAUUAGACUGAUAUGGCUGGUUUGGCAAGUGUCCCCCUCCUCCCUCACCGCUCCUUGUGCGUUCCUCCUGAAACUGCAUGCUCAGUUGAAUAGGAUGGCCUUCCCCAUAUAGAGACAGACUAGUCUUCGUUCAAGGGUAUAUGAGUAGCUGCACUUUUCCACUAGAACCUCCAAACAAAUACUCCACACACCACAUAUACACCAUACACACCACACAACCCAUACAUACCAUAGACACUACUCAACACACAAUCUAU
This 310-nucleotide small nuclear RNA is filed under the name Erinaceus europaeus (western European hedgehog). RNAcentral describes it as "7SK RNA". It matches the Rfam family "7SK RNA". Rfam says of the family: 7SK was discovered as an abundant small nuclear RNA in the mid-70s but a possible function has only recently been suggested. Two independent studies have found that 7SK RNA binds the CDK9/cyclin T complex (known as elongation factor P-TEFb). The record is from Rfam by way of RNAcentral. Lineage: Eukaryota; Metazoa; Chordata; Mammalia; Eulipotyphla; Erinaceidae.